AUACUGACCUGGUAGGGGAGACACCAUGAUCAGGAAGUGGUUUUCCCAGGGCGAGGCUCACCCAUUGUGCUGCGGGUGUGCUGACCCUGCGAUUUCCCAANNN
Molecule: small nuclear RNA, 103 nt
Filed under: Echinops telfairi (small Madagascar hedgehog)
Lineage: Eukaryota; Metazoa; Chordata; Mammalia; Afrosoricida; Tenrecidae
Description: U1 spliceosomal RNA (ENSETEG00000026454.1)
Rfam family: U1 spliceosomal RNA
About the family: U1 is a small nuclear RNA (snRNA) component of the spliceosome (involved in pre-mRNA splicing). Its 5' end forms complementary base pairs with the 5' splice junction, thus defining the 5' donor site of an intron.
Source: RNAcentral